GAACCUGCGGAGGGAUCAUUACAGAGUUUUUAACUCCUAAAACCAUGUGAACUUACCACUGUUGCCUCGGUGGAAGGUAUCCGAAAGGGUGCUGGAAGCCGGCGGACAUCUAAACUCUUGUUAAUUUUUGUUAUUCUGAAUCAAACUAAGAAAUAAGUUAAAACUUUCAACAACGGAUCUCUUGGUUCUGGCAUCGAUGAAGAACGCAGCGAAAUGCGAUAAGUAAUGUGAAUUGCAGAAUUCAGUGAAUCAUCGAAUCUUUGAACGCACAUUGCGCCCAUUAGUAUUCUAGUGGGCAUGCCUGUUCGAGCGUCAUUUCAACCCUUAAGCCUAGCUUAGUGUUGGGAGACUGCCUAAUACGCAGCUCCUCAAAACCAGUGGCAGAGUUUUUACGUACUCUGAGCGCAGUAAUUCUAUUCUCGCUUUUGAACACGUCUAGACGAUAGCCAAAAACCGCUUGCCUCGGCAGCACUUUUUAAUGGUUGACCUCGGAUCAGGUAGGAAUACCCGCUGAACUUAAGCAUAUCAAUAAGCGGAGGA
Molecule: ribosomal RNA, 540 nt
Filed under: Microdochium sp. 41F2
Lineage: Eukaryota; Fungi; Ascomycota; Sordariomycetes; Xylariales; Microdochiaceae
Also listed under: 1 other name
Description: eukaryotic LSU rRNA
Rfam family: 5.8S ribosomal RNA (bases 162-315)
Source: RNAcentral